This 465-nucleotide ribosomal RNA is filed under the name Vreelandella stevensii. RNAcentral describes it as "partial 16S ribosomal RNA". It matches the Rfam family "Bacterial small subunit ribosomal RNA", at positions 338 to 795 of the family's 1533-position model. The record is from RNAcentral. Lineage: Bacteria; Pseudomonadati; Pseudomonadota; Gammaproteobacteria; Oceanospirillales; Halomonadaceae.
CCUACGGGGGGCUGCAGUGGGGAAUAUUGGACAAUGGGGGCAACCCUGAUCCAGCCAUGCCACGUGUGUGAAGAAGGCCCUCGGGUUGUAAAGCACUUUCAGUGAGGAAGAACGCCUGGUGGUUAAUACCCAUCAGGAAAGACAUCACUCACAGAAGAAGCACCGGCUAACUCCGUGCCAGCAGCCGCGGUAAUACGGAGGGUGCGAGCGUUAAUCGGAAUUACUGGGCGUAAAGCGCGCGUAGGUGGCUUGAUAAGCCGGUUGUGAAAGCCCCGGGCUCAACCUGGGAACGGCAUCCGGAACUGUCAAGCUAGAGUGCAGGAGAGGAAGGUAGAAUUCCCGGUGUAGCGGUGAAAUGCGUAGAGAUCGGGAGGAAUACCAGUGGCGAAGGCGGCCUUCUGGACUGACACUGACACUGAGGUGCGAAAGCGUGGGUAGCAAACAGGAUUAGAUACCCUGGUAGUC